This 497-nucleotide ribosomal RNA is filed under the name uncultured bacterium. RNAcentral describes it as "partial 16S ribosomal RNA". It matches the Rfam family "Bacterial small subunit ribosomal RNA", at positions 28 to 507 of the family's 1533-position model. The record is from RNAcentral.
GAUGAACGCUGGCGGCGUGCCUAAUACAUGCAAGUCGAGCGAACAGACGAGGAGCUUGCUCCUCUGACGUUAGCGGCGGACGGGUGAGUAACACGUGGAUAACCUACCUAUAAGACUGGGAUAACUUCGGGAAACCGGAGCUAAUACCGGAUAAUAUAUUGAACCGCAUGGUUCAAUAGUGAAAGACGGUUUUGCUGUCACUUAUAGAUGGAUCCGCGCCGCAUUAGCUAGUUGGUAAGGUAACGGCUUACCAAGGCGACGAUGCGUAGCCGACCUGAGAGGGUGAUCGGCCACACUGGAACUGAGACACGGUCCAGACUCCUACGGGAGGCAGCAGUAGGGAAUCUUCCGCGAUGGGCGAAAGCCUGACGGAGCAACGCCGCGUGAGUGAUGAAGGUCUUCGGAUCGUAAAACUCUGCUAUUAGGGAAGAACAAAUGUGUAAGUAACUAUGCACGUCUUGACGGUGCCUAAUCAGAAAGCCACGGCUAACUACGUG